GCCGCGUUAGCUCAGUGGUAGAGCGCGCCACUCGUACUGAAUUAUAGCGUUCAGUUAUGGUGAGGUCGAUUGUUCGAUCCAGUCACGUGGCA
Fomitiporia mediterranea MF3/22 is the source of this 92-nucleotide transfer RNA. It matches the Rfam family "tRNA". From Rfam's summary of the family: Transfer RNA (tRNA) molecules are approximately 80 nucleotides in length. Their secondary structure includes four short double-helical elements and three loops (D, anti-codon, and T loops). Lineage: Eukaryota; Fungi; Basidiomycota; Agaricomycetes; Hymenochaetales; Hymenochaetaceae. The record is from Rfam.